AUGGCGCGCCUCCACCGCCUUCUCUCCCGCGCGCUCGCCUCCAACCACCUCCUCCGCCCUUCUCCGGCCCCAUUUUCAGCGCGCCUGACUCUCCCGCUCCACUCGCAGCCGCCGGCGCCGCCGCGUCCUCACCCCCAUGGUCGCAGCCCGCCCCCUUUCCUCGCCGCCGCCUCGCGGCACUACGCGUCACCCAUAUCCAGACGACGGCGGCGCGGCUCGUUGCCGUCGAUGUUUCCGAGGCGGAGGAGAGCCAGGUUGAAGGGCCCCGCCGAGCUCAGCGUGCAGAUUGGCAUCGAAGAAGCCCUCCCCGACGACCCCCUCGUCCUGAGUAUUGCAGAAACACUUCGAACGGAUGUUGGGAAGGCAAUGAAGCUGGCAUUCCACAAUUUGGGGAACUCGGAGUACAAGACCAGAGACCCCUGCAUAAGCAAUGUGGAUGAGUACGACAGCGUUGAGGUAUCUCUGCUGCUUUGUGAUGAUGAUUUUAUCAGGAAGCUGAACAAGGAAUGGAGGGGUGAAGACCGCGCGACGGAUGUUCUGUCAAUGUCGCAGCAUAUCCCGGGGCUCCAAAUUCCCGUUCUGCAACUAGGUGACUUGGUAAUUUCUGUUGAGACAGCCCGACGGCAAGCAGAAGAAAGAGGCCAUACACUUCUUGAUGAGAUAAGAAUUCUCAUGGUUCAUGGAUUGUUGCAUUUAUUGGGCUUUGAUCAUGAACUCAGCAAGGAGGCUGAAGAAGAGAUGGAGCAGGAAGAAGAAAAAAUAUUAAAUACUCUUGAAUGGAUAGGAAAAGGACUCAUUAGGAGUGCGUAUCAUUUCAGUACUGAUAUGGGUCAUUCAGAAAAUUCUGAUGAGGCCAAUAGAGAUAUAGAGAAAAGGAGUUUACAGGAGGGUCAUCAGCCGAAACUGACCCAUAUAAUAUGUGAUAUAGAUGGUACUGUUGUGGAUUAUGAAGGACACCUGCGUUCAGAGUCAAUAGAAUCUUUGAGAGAGGCAGUAUCACGGGGAGUAACUGUUAUCAUGCUUACUGGCAAGACCCGUGCUUCCACCAUAGCAACCUUCAAGCUUCUUAAUAUGGAAGGAAGAGGUGAUUUUAUAUCGGAGAAUUCAGCUGGUGUAUUUCUACAGGGUUCGCUUGUAUAUGGGGAGCAUGGCCAACUUAUUUAUAGAGCAAACUUGGAUGUGGAUAUAUGCAAGGAGGCAUGUUUGUACUCCUUGAAGCAUAAAAUUCCUCUUGUUGCAUACUGUGAGGAACAAUGUUUGACCUUGUUUGAACAUCCUUCUGUCAACUUGUUGCACACUGUGCACCAUGAGACCAAGGUAAAAGUGAUGCCUUCAGUUGAGGACCUCUUGGAAUAUUCAUCGAUUCAGAAGUUGCUUUUCCUUGGCAACAAGAACGAAGAUUUUUCUGUCCUCACACAGCAUUGGUCGGAACUAACAGAAGGGAAAGCAUGUGUUAUCAAAGAGCAGCCAAAUGCAAUUGAGAUUGUUCCCCUUAAUGCUUCAAAAGGUGGUGGUAUAAGGGCUCUACUUGAUCAUCUCGGAUUAACUGAAGAUUCUGAUCUUGAGGCGGUCGGAGACUAUACCAGAUGGCUAAGCAACAAGUGA
RNAcentral lists this ribosomal RNA (1605 nucleotides) under Triticum aestivum (bread wheat). Its description in RNAcentral is "partial small subunit ribosomal RNA". The record is from RNAcentral. Lineage: Eukaryota; Viridiplantae; Streptophyta; Magnoliopsida; Poales; Poaceae.